UUCCGGUUGAUCCUGCCGGACCCGACUGCUAUCAAAGUGGGACUAAGCCAUGCGAGUCAACGUAGCAAUACGUGGCAUACGGCUCAGUAACACGUAGUCAACAUGCCCAGGGGACGAGGAUAACCUCGGGAAACUGAGGAUAAACCUCGAUAGGCCAUGAUUUCUGGAAUGAUUCUUGGCUCAAACCUAUAUGGCCCCUGGAUUGGACUGCGGCCGAUCAGGCUGUUGGUGAGGUAAUGGCCCACCAAACCUAUUACCGGUACGGGCUCUGAGAGGAGGAGCCCGGAGAUGGGCACUGAGACAAGGGCCCAGGCCCUAUGGGGCGCAGCAGGCGCGAAACCUCUGCUAUAGGCGAAAGCUUGACAGGGUUACUCUGAGUGAUUUCCGCUAAGGGAAUCUCUUGGCACCUCUAAAAAUGGUGCAGAAUAAGGGGUGGGCAAGUCUGGUGUCAGCCGCCGCGGUAAUACCAGCACCCCGAGUGGUCGGGACGAUUAUUGGGCCUAAAGCAUCCGUAGCCGGUUCUGCAAGUCCCCCGUUAAGUCCAGCUGCUCAACAGAUGGGCCGCGGAGGAUACUACAGAGCUAGGAGGCAGGAGAGGCAAGCGGUACUCAGUGGGUAGGGGUAAAAUCCGUUGAUCCAUUGAAGACCACCAGUGGCGAAGGCGGCUUGCCAGAAUGCGCUCGACGGUGAGGGAUGAAAGCUGGGGGAGCAAACCGGAUUAGAUACCCGGGUAGUCCCAG
This 740-nucleotide ribosomal RNA is filed under the name uncultured archaeon. RNAcentral describes it as "bacterial SSU rRNA". It matches the Rfam family "Archaeal small subunit ribosomal RNA", at positions 1 to 750 of the family's 1478-position model. The record is from RNAcentral.